Molecule: ribosomal RNA, 572 nt
Filed under: uncultured bacterium
Lineage: Bacteria
Description: bacterial SSU rRNA
Rfam family: Bacterial small subunit ribosomal RNA
Source: RNAcentral
CGGCAGCGCGGGGAGCUUGCUCCCUGGCGGCGAGUGGCGGACGGGUGCGUAACGCGUAGGAAUCUACCCAGUAGCGGGGGACAACCCGGGGAAACUCGGGCUAAUACCGCAUACGCUCCCUUUUCGAGAGAAGGGGGAGGAAAGCAGGGGAUCUUCGGACCUUGCACUAUUGGAUGAGCCUGCGUCGGAUUAGCUAGUAGGUUAGGUAACGGCUGACCUAGGCGACGAUCCGUAGCUGGUCUGAGAGGACGACCAGCCACACUGGGACUGAGACACGGCCCAGACUCCUACGGGAGGCAGCAGUGGGGAAUAUUGGACAAUGGGGGCAACCCUGAUCCAGCAAUGCCGCGUGUGUGAAGAAGGCCUUCGGGUUGUAAAGCACUUUCAGUAGGGAAGAAAAGCCUCGGGUUAAUACCCCGGAGUCUUGACGGUACCUAAAGAAGAAGCACCGGCUAACUCCGUGCCAGCAGCCGCGGUAAUACGGAGGGUGCGAGCGUUAAUCGGAAUUACUGGGCGUAAAGCGUGCGUAGGUGGUCUGGUAAGUCAGGUGUGAAAGCCCUGGGCUCAACCUA